Molecule: unclassified non-coding RNA, 339 nt
Filed under: soil metagenome
Description: partial contains 5.8S ribosomal RNA, internal transcribed spacer 2, and large subunit ribosomal RNA
Rfam family: 5.8S ribosomal RNA (bases 1-120)
Source: RNAcentral
GAUGAAGAACGUAGCGAAAUGCGAUACGUAGUGUGAAUUGCAGAAUUCAGUGAAUCAUCGAAUCUUUGAACGCACAUUGCACCUCUCGGUAUUCCGGGAGGUAUGCCUGUUCGAGCGUCAUUUGUACCCUCAAGCUCUGCUUGGUGUUGGGUGUUUGUUCCGCCUCUGUGUGUGAACUCGCCUCAAAACAAUUGGCAGCCGGCGUACUUGUUUCGGAGCGUAGCACAUUUUGCGAUCCAGAUCAACGUACAGCGGCAUCCAAGAAGCCUUAUUUAACGCUCUUGACCUCGGAUCAGGUAGGGAUACCCGCUGAACUUAAGCAUAUCAAUAAGCGGAGGA